Molecule: non-coding RNA, 435 nt
Filed under: Fukomys damarensis (Damara mole-rat)
Lineage: Eukaryota; Metazoa; Chordata; Mammalia; Rodentia; Bathyergidae
Description: Eukaryotic small subunit ribosomal RNA
Rfam family: Eukaryotic small subunit ribosomal RNA
Source: Rfam by way of RNAcentral
UCAAGGGGUAAUGGUGAAAAGAAAUCCAACUUUGAAAAAGUAAGUAUACCUGGCCUGGACAUGGACAGGAUUAAUAAAUUGAUAGCUCUUUCUUGAUUCCAUGGGUGCCUGGCCGUUCUUGGUAGAGUGAUUUGUGUGGUUAAUCCCAAUAAGAGUGAGACUCUGGCAUGCUAACUAGUUACGCCCAAGUGGUCGGCGGCCCCCAACUUCUUAUAGUGACAAAUGGCAUUCAGCCACAAUAACAAGUCUGUGAUACCCGUAGAUGUCUGGGGCUGCACGCACGCUACACUGACUGGCUCAGCAUGUGCCUACCCUACACUGGCAGGCACAGGUAACCCAUUGAACCCCACUCAUGAUGGGGACCAGGGAUUGCAAUUAUUCCCCAUGAAUGAUAAAUUCCUAGUGCAUGUCAUAAGCUUGCAUGGAUUAAGUCCC